GCCGCCUGUCUGUCUGCCAUCCUGCUGCCUGGCCUCCCUGGGCUCUGCCUCCCGUGCCUACUGAGCUGAAACACAGUUGGUUUGUGCACACUGGCUCAGUUCAGCAGGAACAGGGGUCAAGCCCCCUUGGAGCC
MicroRNA precursor from Chlorocebus sabaeus (green monkey), 134 nucleotides. Ensembl annotates it as microRNA 24-2. Its record names the gene MIR24-2. NCBI's taxonomy places the organism in Eukaryota, Metazoa, Chordata, Mammalia, Primates, Cercopithecidae. The record is from Ensembl.